UACGUAGGGUGCAAGCGUUGUCCAGAAUUAUUGGGCGUAAAGAGCUCGUAGGCGGCUUGUCGCGUCGUCUGUGAAAUCCCGCGGCUCAACCGCGGGUCUGCAGUCGAUACGGGCAUGACUGGAGUUCGGCAGGGGAGACUGGAAUUCCUGGUGUAGCGGUGAAAUGCGCAGAUAUCAGGAGGAACACCGGUGGCGAAGGCGGGUCUCUGGGCCGAUACUGACGCUGAGGAGCGAAAGCGUGGGGAGCGAACAGG
Molecule: ribosomal RNA, 254 nt
Filed under: uncultured bacterium
Lineage: Bacteria
Description: partial 16S ribosomal RNA
Rfam family: Bacterial small subunit ribosomal RNA
Source: RNAcentral